This 69-nucleotide transfer RNA is filed under the name Allobates insperatus. Its description in RNAcentral is "tRNA-Met". It matches the Rfam family "tRNA". Rfam says of the family: Transfer RNA (tRNA) molecules are approximately 80 nucleotides in length. Their secondary structure includes four short double-helical elements and three loops (D, anti-codon, and T loops). Lineage: Eukaryota; Metazoa; Chordata; Amphibia; Anura; Aromobatidae. The record is from RNAcentral.
AGUAAAAUCAGCUAAAUAAGCUUUUGGGCCCAUACCCCAAACAUGUCGGUUAAACCCCCUCUUUUACUA